Molecule: long non-coding RNA, 918 nt
Organism: Branchiostoma floridae (Florida lancelet)
Lineage: Eukaryota; Metazoa; Chordata; Leptocardii; Amphioxiformes; Branchiostomatidae
Exons: 3
Source: RefSeq, a predicted model, not a curated record
AGGGUCAUAUAGGCUAGAUUUCAUUCAAAUUGUUAAAAAGACAUGGAGUGCCGCAGAAAUGUAACUUUGAUGGACUCUAAGUAUCUAACAACAUCAACAAGGUGAUUUUCUAUCAUAAUGCCUUAUCUUUAGUCUGGGAUUGGGAACUCGAAAGAAACAAAGAAUUUCGCCGAAGGUGACUGACGUGUUUAAUCAUAUGUCUAAAAGCCAUCGACGCACGAUGCGUGUCACAGCGAGGAACCUUUUGCAGCCGCGGCGAAACGUCUGAGGUGUGUGCGGCAAAGACAGAAUACAUAUAUAUCUAAGAAGAAAGGGGCGUGCUACAGAAAAGGUCUGACCAAUACAGAUCUGCUAUUCAGGCGUGACCCCUGCGUGGCCCCGUGGGACACCUUGCGACUCCCGGAGUAUUGGGGGCCCGGACUGACCCCUGGUUGAAUUUCAGCUGUGCUCUGAAUGAAUCCGGGACGUGGUAACAACUAGACGCCGUAACCUACCCAUGGGGAACAGUGAGAUCAAGAUAGUCGAAUCUUGACUACAUGUAUGUGUAUAAUCGGUGAACUACCAUGUAUCAGUUUCUACCUAAUUAUAUGCAAUAAACUUCAUUGUCAUUACCAUUGUCAUUGUAAUACAAAGACAUGGUACCCAUUCCUCCUUAAAGGUGCUGCUAUGAAAACUCCACAUAACCGAUGCUUCUGUACACGAUAUUCUUUCAGAUGACGUUGUCAAACUCUUAGCUCCCCUGUGUCAAGUUACGCUAGAUGCAUUACACGGCUCGUAUGCCAGGGGGCGCCAAACGCGUACUAUUCUCAUGUGUCUAUAGCUAGGUCUUGUUCGAAAGCAACAAGUCUGUCAAAUAGAAGAGAUAAUGCCAAACUUUGUCACCCCCUUGUCAGGACUGGAUGUUGACUGAAAGGUUCA